Molecule: ribosomal RNA, 484 nt
Filed under: uncultured bacterium
Lineage: Bacteria
Description: partial 16S ribosomal RNA
Rfam family: Bacterial small subunit ribosomal RNA
Source: RNAcentral
AUUGAACGCUGGCGGCAGGCCUAACACAUGCAAGUCGAGCGGAUGAAGGGAGCUUGCUCCUGGAUUCAGCGGCGGACGGGUGAGUAAUGCCUAGGAAUCUGCCUGGUAGUGGGGGAUAACGUCCGGAAACGGGCGCUAAUACCGCAUACGUCCUGAGGGAGAAAGUGGGGGAUCUUCGGACCUCACGCUAUCAGAUGAGCCUAGGUCGGAUUAGCUAGUUGGUGGGGUAAAGGCCUACCAAGGCGACGAUCCGUAACUGGUCUAAGAGGAUGAUCAGCCACACUGGAACUGAGACACGGUCCAGACUCCUACGGGAGGCAGCAGUGGGGAAUAUUGGACAAUGGGCGAAAGCCUGAUCCAGCCAUGCCGCGUGUGUGAAGAAGGUCUUCGGAUUGUAAAGCACUUUAAGUUGGGAGGAAGGGCAGUAAGUUAAUACCUUGCUGUUUUGACGUUACCAACAGAAUAAGCACCGGCUAACUUCGUG